This 491-nucleotide ribosomal RNA is filed under the name uncultured bacterium. Its description in RNAcentral is "partial 16S ribosomal RNA". It matches the Rfam family "Bacterial small subunit ribosomal RNA", at positions 29 to 507 of the family's 1533-position model. The record is from RNAcentral.
AGUGAACGCUGGCGGUAGGCCUAACACAUGCAAGUCGAACGGCAGCACAGUAAGAGCUUGCUCUUACGGGUGGCGAGUGGCGGACGGGUGAGGAAUACAUCGGAAUCUACUUUUUCGUGGGGGAUAACGUAGGGAAACUUACGCUAAUACCGCAUACGACCUACGGGUGAAAGCAGGGGAUCUUCGGACCUUGCGCGAUUGAAUGAGCCGAUGUCGGAUUAGCUAGUUGGCGGGGUAAAGGCCCACCAAGGCGACGAUCCGUAGCUGGUCUGAGAGGAUGAUCAGCCACACUGGAACUGAGACACGGUCCAGACUCCUACGGGAGGCUGCAGUGGGAAUAUUGGACAAUGGGCGCAAGCCUGAUCCAGCCAUACCGCGUGGGUGAAGAAGGCCUUCGGGUUGUAAAGCCCUUUUGUUGGGAAAGAAAAGCAGCAGGUUAAUACCCCGCUGUUCUGACGGUACCCAAAGAAUAAGCACCGGCUAACUUCGUG